Molecule: transfer RNA, 72 nt
Filed under: Hypsolebias magnificus
Lineage: Eukaryota; Metazoa; Chordata; Actinopteri; Cyprinodontiformes; Rivulidae
Description: tRNA-Ala
Rfam family: tRNA
About the family: Transfer RNA (tRNA) molecules are approximately 80 nucleotides in length.
Source: RNAcentral
GAGGCCUUAGCUUAAAAAUUAAAGCUUCUGUUUUGCGAAUAGACGAUGUGGGUUGAAUUCCCGUAGGUCUUA